UCUCUCCCUGGAAGUUCCUUCUCUUACGCUGGCUCACUUGCUCUGGCCGCGAUGGGAUUUGGAACUCUAGUUUUGUUUGUUUAUCAAAACUAUGGUUUUUCCUCAGCUUGAUGACCACACCGGGCCGCAGUGUCACUGGGAUGGAGCUAAGCGAGCAGGCAGGCAGGAUCCACUUACAUUGUCCAAAGGAGGUGAAGCCAUUCAAGAGGCUUCACUCUCGUCAAGUGUCAACUCAAUGGUAAGCUUCGAGAUAUUUUUCCAUUCA
This is a long non-coding RNA of Selaginella moellendorffii, 265 nucleotides long. RefSeq lists it as uncharacterized. The record is from RefSeq and is a predicted model, not a curated record. NCBI's taxonomy places the organism in Eukaryota, Viridiplantae, Streptophyta, Lycopodiopsida, Selaginellales, Selaginellaceae. The transcript is spliced from 2 exons.